CGGACGGGACCGCAGAGUCUGCCCCCGGUAUUCAGCUCGUCCUCUUCGUCGGCCGCGUCCGUCGCCAAACGACACCCUCUGAGCGGGUGCCAUGGCGGGCGUGAGCGCGGCGGGGGACGCGUGCACUUUCCGGGGUGCGGUGCGUCACGACCGGUUCGGCGGAGGUCAGAAGGCCGGCGGGAUGGUGGCCAGUCGUUCGCGUCUGGUGGUAUAGCCCGUCUGCGUCGCAGGCCCUCUGCCGGACCGAGGAGGAUCCGCGUCUGCCUUAGGGCGCGGGGCCCGGGGCCUCCCGUGCUGCCUCCGUGCCGGGACUGCUCUCGCAGUGCCGUGCGCGGUUCGGCGGUCGGGACGGACUCCGCUCCCCCCGUAACGGCGUCUAGGGUCGGUGGCGAUAUUGUCGGCAACCCGUCCGACCCGUCU
RNAcentral lists this ribosomal RNA (420 nucleotides) under Platynereis jourdei. Its description in RNAcentral is "partial 28S ribosomal RNA". Lineage: Eukaryota; Metazoa; Annelida; Polychaeta; Phyllodocida; Nereididae. The record is from RNAcentral.